Molecule: non-coding RNA, 24 nt
Filed under: Arabidopsis thaliana (thale cress)
Lineage: Eukaryota; Viridiplantae; Streptophyta; Magnoliopsida; Brassicales; Brassicaceae
Source: RNAcentral
CAGCAGAACAUAGUCGCACGUUGC